UACAGAGGGGGCAAGCGUUAUUCGGAAUUAUUGGGCGUAAAGGGCGCGUAGGCGGCCUUGCAAGUGACGGGUGAAAUCCCUCGGCUUAACCGAGGAACUGCCUGUCAGACUGCAUGGCUUGAGACCAGGAGAGGUGAGUGGAAUUCCCAGUGUAGCGGUGAAAUGCGUAGAUAUUGGGAGGAACACCAGUGGCGAAGGCGGCUCACUGGACUGGUACUGACGCUGAGGUGCGAAAGCUAGGGUAGCAAACGGG
This 253-nucleotide ribosomal RNA is filed under the name uncultured bacterium. RNAcentral describes it as "partial 16S ribosomal RNA". It matches the Rfam family "Bacterial small subunit ribosomal RNA", at positions 524 to 776 of the family's 1533-position model. The record is from RNAcentral.